This is a long non-coding RNA of Bos taurus (domestic cattle), 1863 nucleotides long. Lineage: Eukaryota; Metazoa; Chordata; Mammalia; Artiodactyla; Bovidae. The record is from Ensembl.
CACGGAGGCGCUUCCGGCCGUGGGGCUGGGUCGACGAAGGGGUUACGACGGGGCGGCCCGCCCCCGCCCAGGCCCCUCCUCUCCACGCCUGCGCCGGCACCGGGGGUGGGGCCGCGCGGUACCCGGCCGCCCCGAGAUCGACCCCUCCCCCGCGAGGGGCGGGAUUAGGUUCAGGCCACGGUGGGGGCCGAGCGGGCCGCGACAACCCCCACUCCGCAGCCUGGGCGCGCGGUCCGCGGGGCCCGGAGGCGGCGCUAGCUCGGGAAGGAGGGGGUCAAGCGGCAGGAAGUGCGCUCUCCCACCGCGUCCUGAGCACAGUGACCCCCUCCCGUCCGACGCGCGGGGGAGAAUUGGGAUGGCGGGAGAGAGAGGGGUACCCUGGGGAGGAGGCGCCUCGCGGGCACGUUGCGCUGGAGCGAGCCCUCGCUCAGGGGGAUGGGGCAGGAAGGAAGAGGCCUUGGGCAGCUGGCGUGUGCCCCAGUGAUCUGGCUGAAACAGGCCCAGAGACCCCUGCUGAUGCCCCGAGGACCGAGGUUCCCAGGGUGCCUCAAGUCCACAGUGAGCUGCCCACGCUGCACAGGAGCCAGACUGAUGUUCAGAGGCCGAGGCCCGGCUGGAUAGGGCUGGCAUCGUCAGUGGCCGCUUGAGCUCCUGGAACAGAAAGAGGCUGGCAGGUACCUUCCGGGCACCUCCUGUAGGCCACACACUUCGCCAUGUACCGAGCUGUGCUGGUGAACAGAACUGAAGAAGUGCCGGCCUUUGGGAGAUUCCUGUGUGAGAUGCAUGGCGUGCUGGCCCGUAACAUGUGCAGGGGAAGAGAGAGUUGGGGGCGGGGGGCUUUGAAGCAGGUGACCUAGGAAGGUCUUGUGAGCAGGUGAAGAAAAGAAAGUGUUAGUUGCUCAGUUGUGUCUGACUCUUUGUGACCUCAUGGAUUGUAGCCUGCCAGGCUCCAUGGGAUUCCCCAGGCAAGAGUACUGGAGUGGGUUGCCAUUUCCUUCUCCAGGGAAUCUUCCCGACCCAGGGAUGGAACUGGGGUCUCCUGCACUGCAGGCGGGUUCACCUGCCAAGCAGGUGAAGGGCACAUGCAGAGGCCGUGAGGCAGAGCGUACCUGGCUCAGCUGAAGGGCUGCAGGGAGUGGGGGCCAUGGGGGGCCAGGGCAGUGAGCUGUGGGUGCCAGCUCUGGUUGGGCCUGCAGUCCUGGUCACGAUGUGGCCCAGCGGCCCCUUGUGUUGGGGAGGGGUGUCGGGUGAGAUGGCUCGUGCUGCGGCUGCACCUUGAGCACCCGCAGGGUCAUUGUGGGGUGGGGCAGGGAUGUGACCCACAGAGCCAGAGAACAGUCGGAUGCUGACGGUUUGGGCCUUGACGACAGAAAGUUGUGGUGUUCUCCAUGGAGCAGGAGGAGCUGGUAUGGAGCACGUCAGGUCUGAAGGGCCCUGGACCCCCGCCCAAGGGGGCUGCCCCACCAUUGCUACUGGCCAUGUGGCUGGGAGAGAUCAGAAAUCUGGAGGAGGGACCGGGCCCUGGGCCCCAAGGCUGAAUCAGGGGCGGGGUGUGCAGGGUGGGGCAUACCAGGGCCAAGAGUGAUGUCUGGAGCCCCUGGGGUGUGCUGGGUAGAGGAGGCAGGGCCCCUGCUGGGAGUACUCCACAGGUGGGGUAGAGUGCUCAUGGGGGAGAAGGAGGGCGUCGACCAUAGGUGUGGGAGGGCAGUGGGUGCUGGAUUGAGGGUGAUGGCCAGGAGGGCCUUUAAGAUGGGAGACAGCAGCUGGGGCUUCAGUGGCCAGUCCACCCUGGCCCGGAGGUGACUGCCGGCCAGGACCAGAGGGCUCUGGGUGUCCCUUCCCCCAUUCCGUGAAGAAAGCAGG